UNUCACCACCUAUGUGCCUCUCCUGUCUA
This 29-nucleotide non-coding RNA is filed under the name Mus musculus (house mouse). Lineage: Eukaryota; Metazoa; Chordata; Mammalia; Rodentia; Muridae. The record is from RNAcentral.